Molecule: ribosomal RNA, 260 nt
Filed under: uncultured bacterium
Lineage: Bacteria
Description: partial 16S ribosomal RNA
Rfam family: Bacterial small subunit ribosomal RNA
Source: RNAcentral
UUGGCGGACGGGUGAGUAACACGUGAGCAACCUGCCUUCGAGAGGGGAAUAACGGCUGGAAACGGUCGCUAAUACCGCAUAACAUACCGGGAGGACAUCCUGCUGGUAUCAAAGAUUUUAUCGCUCGAAGAUGGGCUCGCGUCCGAUUAGGUAGUUGGUGAGGUAACGGCUCACCAAGCCGACGAUCGGUAGCCGGACUGAGAGGUUGAACGGCCGCAUUGGGACUGAGACACGGCCCAGACUCCUACGGGAGGCAGCAG